RNAcentral lists this long non-coding RNA (559 nucleotides) under Corvus moneduloides (New Caledonian crow). Its description in RNAcentral is "lncRNA (ENSCMUG00000006787.2)". Lineage: Eukaryota; Metazoa; Chordata; Aves; Passeriformes; Corvidae. The record is from RNAcentral.
CUUCAGUAUGUCUACUUGAAUAUUCAAAAAAUCAUCAGCUAGUCUAAUUUGUUUUUUUUAAAGUCAUGUAAAAGACUGAUUUGCUUUGACAGGUGGAUCAGAAACAGAAUUGUAGCUAUUUUAUCUGGACCUACUUAAACAACCUUCAUUACUGGCAGCUCCUUGAACGUUAAAAAUCUGUAGAAGCUAGCUGAGAAUUUUGCAAGCGUGUCUGAAUGCCGAAUCAACUGAGCAGCUCCCUGGCUCCUGCACAUGCAAAACAUUUGAAUUUCCUGUUGGCUCAGAGUGUUUGCAUUGCAAGUGACAUCUGGCUGACAGCAACCUGGAGAAAUGGGAUAUAAAGUGAAUGCUGCAGUUACCACGGUAUCAUAUUUAUCAAAAGGCUUAAGCUACAGAGACAGAUGCAGAGCUGAACUCUGGCCAUUUGUGUGUGGGAAACCAAAGUGAAAGUCCAGUUGCUUUGAAGCUCUGUGAAGGCUGAAGGUAGAAGGUCAGUGAGACUUCCUAUCUUAAGAAUUGCCAUAGUGUCUUAUCUCCUAGUGAUAAUACUUGAUCUUGC